This 406-nucleotide ribosomal RNA is filed under the name uncultured bacterium. Its description in RNAcentral is "partial 16S ribosomal RNA". It matches the Rfam family "Bacterial small subunit ribosomal RNA", at positions 30 to 526 of the family's 1533-position model. The record is from RNAcentral.
AUUGAACGCUGGCGGCAGGCCUAACACAUGCAAGUCGAACGAGUGGCGGACGGGUGAGUAAUGUCUGGGACACUGCAUGACGGAGGGGGAUAACUACUGGAAACGGAAGCUAAUACCGCAUACCAGCAGAUGUGUCCAGACGGGAUUAGCUUGGUGGUGGGGGAACGGCUCCCCAUGGCGACUAUCCCUAGCUGUUCUGAGAGGAUGACCAGCCGGCCUGAAACUGGGACCCGGUCCAUGCACCUACGGUAGGCUACAGUGGGGAAUAUUGCACAAGGUGCGCAAGCCUGAUGCAGCCGUGCCGCGUGUAUGAAGCAGGCCUUCGGUUUGUAUAGUACUUUCAGCGGGGAGGCGUUCCCCGCAGAAGAAGCACCGGCUAACUCCGUGCCAGCAGCCGCGGUAAUUC